Homo sapiens (human) is the source of this 948-nucleotide long non-coding RNA. Ensembl annotates it as long intergenic non-protein coding RNA 499. NCBI's taxonomy places the organism in Eukaryota, Metazoa, Chordata, Mammalia, Primates, Hominidae. The record is from Ensembl.
GGAACUCUGGGAAUGUAACGGGCAUGGUGUGCUUGUCUGAUGGACAGGGCAGCUUAGGGGAAUAAGUCUCUGCAGCGUUGUAGUGAAGAGAGAAUACGGGACAACUGCAGGACCACAGCUCAGCCAAGACACAACCACAUGACUGAAGACAGAGAUCAUCUGGGCUCCCUUGCAGCUGAGUUGGCCAUAUGACUGACAGCAAGCCCUGGAAUGCAGCCAGAAGUGAUAGAAGCCUCUUUCACACCAUGCUCCUAAAAUAUUCCAAGAAAUUUUCCAAACCUACUCUUUUUAGUCUGUGCAUCUGGAAGUGAAAGUUUUAGAAAGGGUAAAGUCACUUAAUGGAAAGGGCCCAGAUCUAGCCCCUCGGAGCCAAGCUGUCCAACUAGAAAUUCUGCAUUAGUAUUUGCGACCCCAGUAAAAAAAAAAAAGUCCCACAAAGAUGUAGGAUCUCACUUUGCCUGCGUUAAUUCCCUGUCCUUUGCCCAGUUUCUCCUCUCUUGGAAGGCAGAGGCAGCUUCUGAUUUUGAUCACUUCAUGUCCAGCAGAUCUUUGGAGAGAAAAUGCCAAGAGUGGAUGGAGAGGCAAUGGUGAAGCUGAGGCUGAAGUCGGAGGAAGCUGUGAACCCUGCAUGGGGUACCUGAACACCAGGGCAAGUUUCUGGCCCAGAAUGGCUUCUGGGAAAGGGGUCUCGACCCAGCAUUGGAGCUGAAGGAAGUUAAGAAUUAUUGAAACAUCUUGGCUCAAGCAUUGCCUGUGGAUGAUCACAGGGCCAGACCUCUGCAGAAGUGGUGUCAAUCACUUACUCCUUUCCAUAAGCUCACUGCACACACCACUUAUGACACAGAAGACUCUACCAAAGGAAAUCAAACUACAGAACAGCAACAAAACUCAAAAAAUUAACAUUUGGCUUUUGUGUUAUUAAAAUAUUUUCUCAGCAGACAAUAACAA